GAAGUCCAGAAAAAAAGCUACGAGGGUCGAGUAGAGCUGAAGGACAGAGAGACAGGAGACAUGUCUUUGGUUCUGAGGAACGUCACGGCCGAAGACGGAGGAACGUAUGAGUGUUAUGUUCUGAGAGAAAGAAGCCGCAGGAAGAGAGCUGAGCCUCAACCAAUCAGCACCGUCCACCUGCAUGUAGCUCCGCCUCCUCCUCCUCCAGGGAACGAGGAUGGAGACAUGAAGGAUGGAGGGAUCAACAAUGUCAUGGACAUCUUUGGCAACAGUCGAAGUCAUGUUGUUGUUGCUGCCUGUGCUGGGAUGAUUUUAAUUGUUUUAAUUGUUGCUGUUGCAAUAAUUAGCAGGAAGAACAAGAAGAUGUCUUCUCCUCCUGAUGAAGCACAAGCACAUCCGAUGAUCUGACUGAAAGUUUAUGUUCCUGUAAAAGUAUCAAGCAAAGCGCAGCUUCCAUCAACAUUGUCCUUAGUCAAUGAGAACAAGAAAUUAUUAGCCAUAAAAUCUUCUUGUUUAACUAUCAAUGUGGCAAAAAUGAAGCAGAUCAGUGAUCUAGUGAGGAAACAGAUCAGUUUUGUAUCUUGUUCCUCAAUUGCUCUCAUCAGAUCCAGAGCUGGUGGUCUCCACUGCACUGAUCAUGUGACUCCUCUGAGAAUUGCUACCUUGUCGUGGUAGAGGGGCUUCAGGGAUCUCCAGAUCCUGGCUGCUUUGGUUCAGGGUCUCCUCUGGGAACCUUCAGCCAGGGUAAAGUCUCAAUAAGAGCAAUUCAGGCACCUCCAUACACUGAGGUUGGUGCAGUUGAGAUGCUGCAAACAAUAAAUCAGUGCAGAGUUACAUUUAGAAACAUUUAUGUUUCUUUAAGACUCUGAGUUCUUAUUGCUACUAACGAUGAUGUUCUUGUUCUGCAAACAUUCAUCUGCUCAUAGUUUAAAUACAAAGAUUGUUACUAUAAUCCACUACGGAUGAAAUGUAAAUGAACACUAUAGAAAUAGUUAUUUCUAAUCUAAUUCUACAGUUUCACUGCUUGGAAAUAUAAUACUAGGAGGUUCAGUGUCUUUCCAGCAGCUUCUGUAGAUAAUUGAAAUCUCUGAUGUCCUUCAAUUGAUUUACUUUCAUCAAGUUAAUAACUAACAUCAGCUGCAGACUGCAGGCUGUGGCCAUUAUUACUGUCUAGACUGAAGCAGGGAGGAAAACCAGGCCUGGGUAUUUAAUGUAAAAGGUUAAACUUUGUUUUGGAUAAAAGUUGAUGUCUGAUCAGAUAAUAAAUAUAUUUUAUAGA
This is a long non-coding RNA of Fundulus heteroclitus (mummichog), 1279 nucleotides long. RefSeq lists it as uncharacterized. Lineage: Eukaryota; Metazoa; Chordata; Actinopteri; Cyprinodontiformes; Fundulidae. The transcript has 2 exons. The record is from RefSeq and is a predicted model, not a curated record.